Molecule: long non-coding RNA, 1800 nt
Organism: Rhinopithecus roxellana (golden snub-nosed monkey)
Lineage: Eukaryota; Metazoa; Chordata; Mammalia; Primates; Cercopithecidae
Exons: 5
Source: RefSeq, a predicted model, not a curated record
GUCCACGCCCGCCCUGGCUUGUAGCAGCAGCCGUACCAACUCCACCUGACCCAGGUAGGCAGCCACUUGCAGAGCGGUCCUGCCUUGGUUCUUGAUGUCCACCUGCCAGGAGAGCCAGCAGCCUGCAGCCGCUUCACCGUGUCAAGGUCGCCGAUGACCCGGACCACAUCGCCCACCCAGAAGGAGUGGUGCUGAGCGACAGAGAGGGGCGUGAGGGGCCCCCCAGCUGUGUGUGGCUGCCCAGGCUCAUGGAGCACAGGAGGGAACCCGCUGAGCUCCACAAGACAGGCAGGCCUGACCCGGCCCCGGCCCCAAGCACUGCCAGAGGCUCUGGCUGGACGAGAGCCCCAGGUGCCUGGUAUCCAGGACCCCAGAUCCAGAUUUGAGCUCUGACGCUUUGCCCUGGACCUGCCCCUCCCAGGGCCAUCCAAGCUGCCACCGCCACCGCCUCCCGCCCCUUCCCUGCCAUCCUGCUUCCCAGGCAGCCCUCACUACCUCCCAUACCACUAGGGUGGUAGGGACCGCCACCCUAGGCCAAACGUGCACCUCCCAGUCCUAACCAGCCACCCCCAUCGGCCCCCAUACAGCACUAACCAGGAGCAUCUUAGCCCAGCUGCCUCCCUCCCGCCCACGAAGCUGUCCUGCCUUCCUGGUGUCCUGGAACCGAGAGAGGCCCUAACCUGCCCAUACCAGCCACGCCAGCUCCCAGAGACAUACCCUCCUCUGGGUUCCUUCACAUCCAACCCCCUCUUCUCCUUGACCCCACCCACCAGUCCCUACCCUUCCUUCAGGGCUGGGGACUCGUGGGUACAGCUGGCACCCUAGUCCUGCCUGACCCCCCGAGGCCGAGUGGAUACAUGGAAGGGGUUACAGAAGCAAACAGAUGGGGUGCAGCCCAGCCCCCCAGGCACCUUGGACGUCAGUGUCCAGUAGACAUUUGACCUUGUCCCCGUGCUGGAAGGGCUGACCGUCAGCACUCACCCUGCGCUGCAGCUCGGCCGGCUUGCCUGGGGGAGGGUGGCAGGCCUCAGGCAGCAGUCCCUCCCCUCUGGGACUUCAGCCAGAGUAGGAGGGCUGAUGGGGUCAGUAGGACAGCCUCAUACCAAGCCUUGGGAGGUGGUCCUUGUAGUAGAAGCCGCCCGCUGCCUCGCCCACACACUUGAGGUCCACCUUGCCCUUGUGGCCCACACGGUACACGUUCGUGGUACCAUCAGCCCACGUCACGCUGGCCACACUCCGGCCUGUCUCCACAUCCCAGCCACGGAUGUCCACCACACGGCCUGGUUUCCCUUCCCCUCCUGGGGAAAGAGUCCCCACCAGCAGGCUAAGGCUGUGCCUUGAGGCUGAGCCAUGAGCCAGCCACAGCCAGGCCCUGCCCUCUGCCCCUCUGCCCCUCUGCCUCCACUCACCAUCCUGUGAGCCCCACUCCCAGUCGGGGCCUCGCACCACCUUUGCUCCCUGGAAGAUGCCCCUUAGUGGGAUCCUCAGGAGGCCCUGGCGGGGACUCAGCGUGACACUGCAAGAGGGUUCACAAAUAAAGCUCUCGGAAGAAAACUGCCGUCUCUUCCCAUCCUGAGCCACUCGGGAGAGCCUGGGAAUGGCCGGCCCAGCAGGGAGGGCCAGAGACAAGGGUGACAAUGCAGGAGACGCAGUGGCAUCUCUGGCUGCCUUUGCCCCAAGCAGGCUAGAUUCUCCCCCAGCUGAUGCCCUCGGACCAGAGCGCAGCAGCCUCCACGGCAGCCCAGGGGCUGGCUCCAGGUAUGGACAGUCCUCCCGGAGGUCUCAUGCCUCCCUGGGGGA